RNAcentral lists this ribosomal RNA (497 nucleotides) under uncultured bacterium. RNAcentral describes it as "partial 16S ribosomal RNA". It matches the Rfam family "Bacterial small subunit ribosomal RNA", at positions 28 to 507 of the family's 1533-position model. The record is from RNAcentral.
GAUGAACGCUGGCGGCGUGCCUAAUACAUGCAAGUCGAGCGAACGGACGAGAAGCUUGCUUCUCUGAUGUUAGCGGCGGACGGGUGAGUAACACGUGGAUAACCUACCUAUAAGACUGGUAUAACUUCGGGAAACCGGAUCUAAUACCGGAUAAUAUUUUGAACCGCAUGGUUCAAAAGUGAAAGACGGUCUUGCUGUCACUUAUAGAUGCAUCCGCGCUGCAUUAGCUAGUUGUUCAGGUAACGGCUUACGAAGGCAACGAUGCAUAGCCGACCUGAGAGGGUGAUAGGCGACACUGGAACUGAGACACGGUCCAGACUCCUACGGGGCGCAGCAGUCGGGAAUCUUCCGCAAUGGGGGAAAGCAUGACGGAGCAACGCCGAGUGAGUGAUGACGGUCUUCGGAUCGUAAAACUCUGUUAUGAGGGAAGAACCUAUGUGUAAGUAAAUGUGCACAUAUUGACGGUAACUAAUCAGAAAGCAACGGCUAACUACGUG